CCUACGGGUGGCUGCAGUGGGGAAUAUUGGACAAUGGGGGGAACCCUGAUCCAGCCAUGCCGCGUGUGUGAAGAAGGCCCUCGGGUUGUAAAGCACUUUCAGUGAGGAAGAACGCCUGGUGGUUAAUACCCAUCAGGAAAGACAUCACUCACAGAAGAAGCACCGGCUAACUCCGUGCCAGCAGCCGCGGUAAUACGGAGGGUGCGAGCGUUAAUCGGAAUUACUGGGCGUAAAGCGCGCGUUGGUGGCUUGAUAAGCCGGUUGUGAAAGCCCCGGGCUCAACCUGGGAACGGCAUCCGGAACUGUCAAGCUAGAGUGCAGGAGAGGAAGGUAGAAUUCCCGGUGUAGCGGUGAAAUGCGUAGAGAUCGGGAGGAAUACCAGUGGCGAAGGCGGCCUUCUGGACUGACACUGACACUGAGGUGCGAAAGCGUGGGUAGCAAACAGGAUUAGAUACCCUAGUAGUC
Molecule: ribosomal RNA, 465 nt
Filed under: Vreelandella stevensii
Lineage: Bacteria; Pseudomonadati; Pseudomonadota; Gammaproteobacteria; Oceanospirillales; Halomonadaceae
Description: partial 16S ribosomal RNA
Rfam family: Bacterial small subunit ribosomal RNA
Source: RNAcentral